UUGUGCAUCAACACACUCAAUUAAUAAAUUUAAUAUAAUAAUUAUUAUUAAAUUUUCCAACACGAAUUAUAUCUCAUAAUACAUGGGUGAAUUUGAUAUCAAAUCAAAUUAAAAUUUACCUCUGUUAAGUGGAAUUGGCUUUGAUUCCUCCAAAUAAAGGUAAGAAUAACACAACAUAAAUAUAUACUAAGAAGUUUAAUUGUGCAAUGUUUGUACUGUCAUAUACUUUUUUCAGUACUUCGAGUUCUUAAGGUUUCCACAAAUUCCCAUUGACUAGUUUUGUUUAAUUGAAUGUAAAAGAAAAAGGCCUGGUUUAUAUCAAAUAUGGCUUUGUUAGCUUCACCUCUUUUCAUCAACCUCAAUCAUUAAGUAAUGGAUGGAGGUAGUAAAAGAUAUAAAAUAAUUACAGCUGAAAAUGGUAGGGAAAACACAUGAAGACGACAUGCAAGUACUAGUACUAUUAUAAUUUUAUGUAACAUGCUUGAUCAAAUUUUAUUAUGCCAACAACAAAUUACAUGCAUACAUAUGAUAAACAAGAAAGUGAUGCAAUGAUCAUGUAUUUGGUUAAUUUAAGUCUAUACAAGAAAGAGAUAAUGUCCUUGUAAUAACAAUCAUCUUAACAUUUGUGAAUAACAAAAUUAUACAAAUGGUACAUGAGUAUAUAUGUACAACUAUAAUGGGUACAUGACUAUAUGUGUGUGUGUGUGUGUGUGUGUACAACUAUAAUGAAGCCCAAUAAAAAUUAUUUAGGGAAGAGAGGUUUUUUUUAUUACAACGAUAUUAUUUAUAUUAAGAGGGUGAGGAAUAAAUUUGUGGUGAACUCAUUAUUCUUGAUAUUUGAACCUAAGACCUCUCACUUACAAGUGAAGAAGAAUAGUACUAAACCGUAAUACUAAGUGACAUUAAGAAGAGAAAGUUUGUUAACCUCUUUCUUAGAGUACUGACCAUGUUCCUAACUUUCAUUUGUUACCCUAACCGUCAAUGAAAAACAAUUACAUAAUGAGACUAAAAUAUUAAUUAUACUCAUAUAUAUUAUGAUGUCUCUCUCUCACAUUUUUUUGUUGCGUACAUAGCAUAUGUGGAAUUGGUAGCUCAAUAUAUAUAUAUAUAUAUAUAAAGGAAAUCAACAAUGUUAGAAGAUUUAAUUUCAGUAGAUUCAAACUAGUAAACUAAUUAGAAUGUUUUUCGAAAGUUUCAUUUGUCGGACAAGUCUAAUUAGGACAACGAGGCUUAUCAUAGAAGAGAAAGGGAUUUAGAUGUAACAUCUAUGUGCGUGGCAAUUAUUUCGACUUUGGAACAUCCUAGUUAGUGCCAUAGGCACUAGCACAAUCAAGAGUUAAAUGGCACUAUAAGAUCUUGGUAAGUAAGGGGAAUUGAUAUGUUAUUCUAGCCUAACUUUGUAAAGCUGUAUAAUUUUGAGGCAAUGCAUUUGUCUUAGGAUGUUUCCAUUUCAUUUCAAGUACACUUAACUUGAUUUACAGUAAUAGAAUCAAUGAAAAGAGAAACCAUGAGAUAUUUUUAGUAGAAUAUUAGAGGAAACCUAGCUAUCAUUUGAUAACGAUUUUUCAUUUCAACUUCCUCAUUAUCACAUCAGAAUCAAGUGUGCUGUUUGGCACUUAUUCAAGGUCUUUAAGAUAAACAUAACACAAACUACAAAUUUGUAAUCACAUCAUAAUUUUGUGAUAUCUACUAUAUAUUACUCUUCUUUUGCACUCCAAACCUCUUCGUCUUCGACAUUGUGUAUAAAAGAGCUGUUAUUAGAGUUUAGGCUUCAGAGAAUCCAUAAUAUAUAACAUUGCCAACUUUAUGUAUAAGUGUUUUUAGGGUUUAUGUUUGAGAGAAUAGGUGAUGAUGCUUCUCAUUUGUUAAUGUAUCUCAUAAGAUAUGACAACAAGAAGUACAUAGGAAAAAUCUUGAUGAGACUAAAUAAUAUGUGACACGCCCGAUAUCCUCCAAAUUCCCAAGGUGGGCACAUGCUGGCCGAUACCCAAAGGCGACGAAGCCAUACUAACAUGCAUGUGAAGUAACGAUCAUAAAUAAAACUUAUAAAUUUAAAUACAAUGCUUAUGCAAUUGAGGAACGUGUUCAGAUCAUACAACUAAUCCUAGACACUAAGAAAAAUCUAGAUGUAGGCAAAAAAUGGCAGAGUUCAACGCUUAUAAUAGCUUGUUGUGAAAUAAUAAAUACAAGACUUCAAUUUAUAAAAGAAAUAAAAAACAAACCUAAACUUAAUAGACUAUAAGUCAUAAUCCUUUGCCCCAAAUAAAACCUAGCAAAAUGCCAAUGAAAAUAUAAACUAAUUUUCCAACACCACCUUUAACUACUUCAUGACUGAAUAUCAUGACUAAAGGCAUCCAACUUGGUGCUGUAACAUCUAAAAUUCUUCUCAUUACGAUAUGAUUCAUAUUUUUAGUUUAUAAAAGCACAUGAAACUCUACUCAUCCAACUUUGGAAUCCAUUUUGUACUUUAAUUUGUUCUUGUCAAUUUUUUUGGGCGAAUUAUAUCUCAUAAUACAUGGGUGAAUUUGAUAUCAAAUCAAAUUAAAAUUUACCUUUGUUAAGUGGAAUUGGCUUUGAUUCCUCCAAAUAAAGGUAAGGAUAACACAACAUAAAUAUAAAAUAAGAAGUUCAAUUCUGCAAUGAUUGUACUGUCAUAUACUUUUUUUCAGUACGUCGAGUUCCUAAGGUUUCCUCAAACUCCCAUUGACUAGUUUUGUUUAAUUGAAUGUAAAAUAGAAAAAGGCUUGGUUUAUAUCAAAUCUAGCUUUGUUAGCUUCACCUCUUUUCAUCAACCUCAACCAUUAAGUAAUGGAUGGAGGUAGUAAAAGAUACGAAAUAAUUAGGGUUGAAAAUGGUAGGGAAAACACAUGAAGACGACAUGCAACUACUAGUGCUAUUAUAAUUUUAUGUAACAUGCUUGAUCAAAUUUCAUUAUGCCAACAACAAAUUACGUGCAUACAUAUGAUAAACAAGAAAGUGAUGCAAUGAGCAUGUAUUUGGUUAAUUUAAGUCUAUACAAGAAAGAAAUAACGUCCUUGUAAUAACAAUCAUCUUAACAUUUGUGAUUAACAAAAUUCUACAGAUGGUACAUGAGUAUAUAUGUACAACUAUAAUGGGUACAUGACUGUAUGUGUGUGUGUGUGUGUGUGUGUGUGUGUGUGUAUACAACUAUAACGACCUACUGCAGAAACUGGCCCAAUAAAAAUUAUUUAGGGAUGAGAGGUUUUUUUUUAUUACAACGAUAUUAUUUAUAUUACGAGGGUGAGUGAAUAAAUUUGUGGUGAACUCGCUAUUCCUGAUAUUUGAACUUAAGACCUCUCACUUACAAGUGAAGAAGAAUAGUACUAAAUCGUAGUACUAAGUGACAUUAAGAAAAGAAAGUUUGUUAAUCUCUUUCUUAGAGUACUGACCAUGUCCCUAACUUUCAUUUGUUACCCUAACCUACAAUGAAAAACAAUUACAUAAUGAGACUAAAAUAUUAAUUAUACUCAUAUAUAUUAUGACGUCUCUCUCUCACAUUUUUCUGUUGCAUUCAUAGCAUGUGUGGAAUUGGUAGCUAAAAAUCAAAAUAAAAAAAUAAAAUAAAGGAAAUCAACAAUGUUAUAAGAUUUAAUUUUAGUAGAUUCAAACUAGUAAACUAAUUAGAAUGUUUUUCGAAAGUUUCAUUUGUCAGACAAGUCUAAUUAGGACAACGAGGCUUAUCAUAGAAGAGUAAUGGAUUUAGAUGUAACACCUAUGACAAUAUUGCGUGACAAUUAUUUUGACUUUGGAACAUCCUAGUUAGUGCCCUAGGCACUAGCACAAUCUAGAGUUAAAUGGCACUAUAAGAUCUUGGCAAGUAAGGGGAAUUGAUAUGUUAUUCUAGCCUAACUUUGUAAAGUUGCAUAAUUUUGAGGCAAUACAUUUGUCUUAGGAUGUUUCCAUUUCGUUUCAAGUUCAUUUAACUUUAUGUACACUAAAAGAAUCAAUGAAAAGAGAAACCAAGAGAUAUUUUUAGUAGAAUAUUAGAGGAAACAUAGCUAUCAUUUGAAAACGAUUUUUCAUUUCAACUUCCUCAUUAUCACAUCAGAAUCAAGUGUGCUGUUAGGCACUUAUUCAAGUUCUUUAAGAGAAACAUACCACAAACUACAAAUUUGGAAUCACAUCAUAAUUUUGUGCUAUCUAUUAUAUAUUACUUUUCUUUUGCACUCCAAAUCGCUUCGUCUCUGACAUUGUGUAUAGAAGAGUUGUUAUUAAAGUUUAGGCUUAAGAGAAUCCAUAAUAUAUAACAUUGCCGACUUUAUGUAUAAGUGUUUUUAGGUUUAUGUUUGAGAGAAUAGGUGAUGACGAUUCUCAUUUGUUAAUGUAUCUCAUAAGAUAUGACAACAAGAAGUAUGGAGCAAAAAUCUUGAUGAGACUAAAUAUAUGAGUGAAUUUGAAUCCAAAAUAGUCCCACAUAUAUUGUACACUAAUCCAAACCCUAACAUAUAUAUGAUUAUAUUGGCGACCUUAUGUAUAUUGGAAAUACGUGAUACAUAAGCAAUUGAUAACAUGACAAUUGCUGAUGUGUCAUGUAUAUCCAAUAAAAAUAUUCUCGAACUUUACUGAAUCAGACAUGAUUACUCAAUAAAUAUUUCAACAAAAAACAACAAAUUACAAACCAAGAAUAUAAGAUCUUGAGAAACACUUGUUGAAGAAAAACCCGGAUGCAAAAAACUUGGAAAAAUUCCAAAAAUAUAGGAACUAACAAUCAACAUUAUCACAUCUUAAUGGAAAACUGGUUAUCAACCUUAAUUCAUCAACGAAAACAUGAACAAUGGCAUCGGCCUUCAAGAAAAUUGAAAAAAAUCAACUGGAAUCAAUCUAACCAAUAAAAUUGUCUCAACAUCGGCCUUUAAUUCAGACAAACCAAGAUUGUAAUCUAGAACAAAUGAGCUAAAUUUGAAAAAAAAACCCCCCAAAAUUUGUUUAGAACCCAUCACGCAAGCAAGACUGGCUCAUGGAUACCAUCUUAACAUUCUUGUAUAAUUGCAUAGAUUGAAUAUUAGAAGAAUGAGGAAUCUUGGAGACAAAGCUUGAAGAAGAAGAAAGAAGAUAAGCUCAUAUAUUUCACUAACAGGAAACAAUUAUUACAAUUCAAGUAUAUCCCACAUGUUAGAGAGGGAAAUUUGUUUAUACAUCUCUAUACAAACAUGACUUAAGACUAAAGCAAUAAAUGACAUAACAAUUGCUAAUGUGUCAUGUAUAUCCAAUAAUGUAUACAAGAACUGCUUAUUGGGUUUACGAUUAAGGAAAUACAUGAUAACACUUCUCAUUCGGCAAUGUAUAAGUUAUGAUAAUAACAAGUAUAAAGGAAAAAGAUUGAGGAAACUAAGUAUGAGUGAAUGUGAAUCCAAAUUCAAUCUAAACUAAAUCUCAAAAUGAACUAAUUAUUCAUAAGCACAGUGUGCUUCCAAUUUUGCCCUCACAUUUUUACACUAAUGCUGAUUGUGUCCCUAUACCCCCGUCACACACACACACACACACACACACAGAAAGCCUUUAAGGGAAGGGAUCCCCAUUUUCAAAAAAAAAAUGGGGACACCCUCUUGACCAUUAGAUCUGGCUUUAAUGAAAUUCUAUGGUUGAGAUUAAAUCACAAGCCACAUAAUUUCAUUAAAGCCAGAUCUAAUGGUCAAGAGGGUGUCCCCAUUUUUUUUGAAAAAUGGGGAUCUCUUCCUUUAAAGGGCCUGUCUGUGUGUGUGUGUAUAUAUAUAUAUUGUAUUUCUUUAUUUUUUUUCUUUUUCUUCCUUCCUUUCUUUCUUUUCCCUCUCGCCAUUCUCCGCCAAUUAUGACUCACCAUUGUGGUUAGCGACAAGUUCUUCGUUUUAGCGACUAUAGUCCACAAAACCAAUACCAAUUGAUCUAUCUUGCUCUACUUAAUCAAAUGUUCAUAGCAGUUUUGUGAAUUUCAUAGUCAUUUUUGAGCAAGUAGAGUUAUAUUUUGGAACCUGAUUUUCAGACGAGGCAAUUCCAGUCGAUCGCCUGUGACUUUACCUUGCCAUUACCUAGAACGACUCCUCUCAUUCCCAUGAGAAAUAUUCAGGUAUUGCAUAUUUGAUUUCAAUUCACUUUAAGGUGAAUCAAAGGACACCCUAACCUUUGAAUUUUUCUAGCGAGUUUUCAGAAAUCUGACGGUUAGUUUUGGUUUGACGGCAAGCAAUUGUUAUCCACCACCAUAAUCACCUAUAUCAAGUUGGCUUUGGUGACAACAACAUGAAAUUGGCUUUGGGUAAAGCUUCCACACCCAAAAUAGGAGUAGGAUUCUCUCCCCUCUUUAUUUUUCCUCCCCUUCCCUCCCUUCCUACUUGAAUAGUCACAGUUAAGCUAUGUCAACAUCUUAUAUUAAUUUUUUAUAGCAAGAGAAAGAUAAAAUAAGAGAAUGUGAGACAAGGGGAUAGAAGGGGAUGUGAAGAUGAGGGAAGAGAAUCCUAGUCCAUUGUCUAAAAUACGGGUUUGACUUGGUCAAAUUCGCUAUUCUUGAUGACAGCAUCAUGAAAUUGGCUUUGGGUAACCUCUUUUCUUUGUUGAAUUCUUGAUGAUUUUGAUCUAUGAUUUUUCUUCAUGAUUUUGAGCUAUGAACUCUUUCCUGAUUCUGUGAG
RNAcentral lists this long non-coding RNA (6620 nucleotides) under Malus domestica (apple). Its description in RNAcentral is "long non-coding RNA (MDOM_LNC015713)". The record is from RNAcentral. Lineage: Eukaryota; Viridiplantae; Streptophyta; Magnoliopsida; Rosales; Rosaceae.